UGUUUUCUCCGCUGCCUGUGUGUAUAUGUACGUAUACGUGUGAGAUGAGGAAGAAUCAAUGGCGAUUCCAAAGAAUUAAGAUCAAUUCUCACACUCUGCAUUGUUAUGAUAGUUGUUUCUAUUGCUUUUACUCUCAAAUUUUAAACAAUGAAGAAAAUGCUUCAGAAAGCCGAUAAGAAUGGUCGAAGAAAGCGCUUAAUUAAUAAAUAAGGUAGUGGCAUCAAUGGACUGGCCCGAGGUCACCACAUACAAAGAACUCUACACACAUGGUCAGUGAGAGGAAAUAUUAAGGAAUCUCUACUGCACUUGUGAAACUGAAAGGGGUGUUGUUGCUAGUGGCAUGACCAGGGACUAUUUGAUGGCAUUCUACCAGCAAACAGAACUCCGACCUAAACGGAUCAUAUUCUACAGGGAUGGAGUCAGUGAAGGUCAGUUUAAUCAGGUCUUGCUGAAAGAGAUGGAUGCCAUUAGGACGGUUGAUGUGUUUUAUUUUUUGUCUGCCAGGCGCUGCAAUCAAAUUAUUUACAAUGGCAGGAAAUCAACUGAUCGGAGUGGCAACAUAUCACCUGGUACUGUUGUAAAUAUGACCAUCUGCCAUCCCACUGAGUUUGACUUUUAUUUGUGUAGCCAUGCUGGUAUACAGAUUAUGACACUCAAAAUAUUUUAAUGGGCAAUAGGACGGACUUUGACUUUGUUGUCGGCAAUGCACAGACUAAUGAGGGUGUUGAAAAGGUGAAACCUCCAACCGGUAGCCCAAUAUCUAUGUUAAUGGCUACUCCAGAUGGCUCAUAUGCAUUACCAAGCAGUUGAUGUUUUUAAGCUAAAUGAGUGUCAGAGAUACCAUCAUAUCUCAGUAAAUCAGUGUUUGUCGAGCACAAAUUGUUCUUGCCGAUGAUUAGUUGCCCAAAAAUACUGUAAGACAUACUGUAUAAAGAAUUCAAGAGGCCGAUAACAGCAGCGGAGAUAAUAAAGGCCGUGAUUCCCAGUUGCAAGGUCUGCAAUUUUUUCUGUCUUCGAGUCUUUGGAAUGUUGCUGUUAUGGAAUACCCCAGGAAAAUAUAACUUCGGAAUCAAGAAGUUUCGAAAGGUAGCUUGGCAAAUCAGCCCAACCAAAGCUGCUCAGAAGUACAACUUAGAUACAAGUUGUUUUUUCAAAUAUGUGUGAGUCCUUGUAUUGAUAUCUAUCAGGCUAACGAGUGAUGCCACUAUGGAUAUGAUCUUGUAGUGAAAUUUAUAUAUACAUUCAUUUAUGCACGUAUGUAUAUUAAUGUGUUAACUGUACCAAAUAUUUAUCAUUUAAUAUUUUUAUUCACGGAAA
Daucus carota subsp. sativus is the source of this 1317-nucleotide RNA transcript. It is a transcript of the gene named protein argonaute 10-like, with no coding region annotated. The transcript has 10 exons. The record is from RefSeq and is a predicted model, not a curated record. Lineage: Eukaryota; Viridiplantae; Streptophyta; Magnoliopsida; Apiales; Apiaceae.